GAGACAUUCAAACGCUCAUGCCUUUGAAUUAAAAUAACUUACAAACGAUGCAUCAUUUGUUUUCAUGAGUGGUGUGCUCACUUAAUUGAUAAUUAUUAAUAUCCAUAACAAUUUGGCGUUGUCGGCAGGAUCCGACAUGCCAGGAGGACUGCAUGGUGAGGGAUAAGGAUGCUUGGCCAGCCUGAAGACCUAUCUUCAGUCCACCUACAUUGAAAAAAGGGGAGUCCUGGAACCUGCCUGCAGCUCCUGGCUGAUCGGAUCCGAAUCAAAGAAAAUUCUGUUAUGAUUUCUGAGUGAGACACUACUCUAAACCAUUUUAUUGUACAUUAACCAUCAUCUCCUAAUACUUGUUUAAUUUAAUUUUGCAGAGUUGGUGGAGUGGGAACAUCAGCGCGAGGGCCUGACCCUGUCUGGAGAACAGGGCUGGUCUAUUGGCAACAAUAGGACCCGGUCUAUUGGUAACAAUAGGACCAAGCAAGACAAAGGGUUUUGCGGGUGGUCUUAGCAUUUCUACACCUCAUAAAGGAGAAAGCCAGGACGGGCAGACGUGCCGCCUGUGGUAAAAAAUGGGUUCCGGAACCUCAAAGGCCUCGGGGGUGUCUCCCCCUCCUCCAGACUCUCCAAUACAUAAAAUUAUGGGGGGAAAAGUGGAGAUGAUUGUGUUGAAUGUGCUUUCAUUUGGUGGAGCUGCAGGCCCUCCAGGUGGCUGACCCGGAUCUGGACUCCUGUCCCCCUCCGAGAAGACAUCAACCUGUUCAACAGUAUGCGGACCGAGGCAAGGCUGGGGAGCGAGGCGAGCUCAGCAAGCAAGGCGGCUCUGACGAAGCAGCGGGGGGAAAACUACGGGAGGAUCCCUCCCUCAUCAGACCCAGUCACUCCCAAGGCAGAGCAGACACAAGAGUCAUCUCAAAGCCAGAACUGGACUUUAUUCGCACCUCUCUGUUUUUCACAUGCCAGAGAAAUGGGAAACAGCGAGUAAACCAAGGACAGAUUUACCAAUUCCCCAUGCAGGAGGUGACAGGAGCAAAUGAACCCCAUGUUUAGACCAAGGACUGCAGCUAACAUCCAGCCCAGCGCUGCCCUCCUCUCUAAUCCCAGAGAGGAAGGAGAAAGGUUGCUGCAGAAAGUGAACUUUGUCUGGAGACUGGAGUCAAGUUUUGCAUCUGGCUGAUUCAAAGAAACGUGCUCUGCUCAGCAGUAAUGUCAUCAGUGGAGGAAAGAAAAAGAAGAGACACUGAUCUGCACAAGGUUGCCCUAAUCCUGUUUUCUGAUGGAUCUCAACCAGGAAGAUCUAACCAUCGUGGAUGUGGCCAUGCACACAAGGGCAGAGGCUGUGGUUGUGGACAGUGGUCUCGUUCUGAUGCAUGUCGCAACUGUGGACAAUUGGGACAUUGGAAGAACGACUGCCCGCAGGGACCGCAGCAGCCUGGUGCCGGUAACUGACAGGUGGGGGAUCGGACCCUGGAUCCGGAGGCCAACCUCGUUGAGAAGGGACUUGCCAAGGGGCGUGAGGCUUCACACACACACACACCGCUACACCUGUGUUUGAAUGUUGAAAUGGUACCUGCUUCAACUGAUCCACAUAGUUUGCUCACAGAGGCCAUCACACACUUAUAUUGUGCCACAGCUGUUACAACAGGCACGCAUCUCCACACAGAGACCCCUGCCUUUUAAAAAAAA
This is a long non-coding RNA of Fundulus heteroclitus (mummichog), 1680 nucleotides long. RefSeq lists it as uncharacterized. Lineage: Eukaryota; Metazoa; Chordata; Actinopteri; Cyprinodontiformes; Fundulidae. The record is from RefSeq and is a predicted model, not a curated record. The transcript has 2 exons.